RNAcentral lists this unclassified non-coding RNA (323 nucleotides) under Dulcicalothrix sp. 44-T10 Mares. RNAcentral describes it as "Calothrix sp. 44-T10 Mares 16S-23S riboomal RNA intergenic spacer". The record is from RNAcentral. Lineage: Bacteria; Bacillati; Cyanobacteriota; Cyanophyceae; Nostocales; Calotrichaceae.
UUUAGGGAGACCUACCCAACUUGUGAGUGGUACUUCGGUACUGUUAAAGCUGCAAGAGGUCAUUACCUAGGCCGUUCGAUGAUUGGCUUUGGCUUCAAACUAUUAUUAUCCGAUUCGGAUUAAUCAAAGAUUCUAACAAACAGUUAUAUAUAGUCAGCAACUAAAGUUAGUAAUAUAACUUAGCCUGCUGGAUGUAUGUCCAGUAAAGAACCUUGAAAACUGCAUAGUGACGCAAAUUGUAGGCAGUAACCGUGGUAAUAAUUACUUCAGUAAUUAAAGCAACGGGUAUUGAAUUACAGAUAAUCCUUUGAAUUGAUGAAAUA